AUUGAACGCUGGCGGCAGGCCUAACACAUGCAAGUCGAACGAGUGGCGGACGGGUGAGUAAUGUCUGGAAACCUGCCUGAUGGAGGGGGAUAACUGCUGGAAACGGUAGCUACUACCGCAUACGAUCGGAUGGGCCCAGAUGGGAUUAGCUAGUAGGUGGGGUAACGGCUCACCGAGGCGACGAUCCCUAGCUGGUCUGAGAGGAUGACCAGCCACACUGGAACUGAGACACGGUCCAGACUCCUACGGGAGGCAGCAGUGGGGAAUAUUGCACAAUGGGCGCAAGCCUGAUGCAGCCAUGCCGCGUGUAUGAAGAAGGUCUUCGGGUUGUAAAGCACUUUCAUCGGGGAGGCGUUACCCGCAGAAGAAGCACCGGCUAACUCCGUGCCAGCAGCCGCGGUAAUAC
Molecule: ribosomal RNA, 406 nt
Filed under: uncultured bacterium
Lineage: Bacteria
Description: partial 16S ribosomal RNA
Rfam family: Bacterial small subunit ribosomal RNA
Source: RNAcentral